Molecule: ribosomal RNA, 253 nt
Filed under: uncultured bacterium
Lineage: Bacteria
Description: partial 16S ribosomal RNA
Rfam family: Bacterial small subunit ribosomal RNA
Source: RNAcentral
UACGUAGGGUGCGAGCGUUAAUCGGAAUUACUGGGCGUAAAGCGCACGUAGGCGGAUCUUUAAGUCAGGGGUGAAAUCCCAAGGCUCAACCUUGGAACUGCCUUUGAUACUGGGGAUCUCGAGUCCGGAAGAGGUGAGUGGAACUGCGAGUGUAGAGGUGAAAUUCGUAGAUAUUCGCAAGAACACCAGUGGCGAAGGCGGCUCACUGGUCCGGUACUGACGCUGAGGUGCGAAAGCGUGGGGAGCAAACAGG